Carcharodon carcharias (great white shark) is the source of this 106-nucleotide small nuclear RNA. The record is from RefSeq and is a predicted model, not a curated record. NCBI's taxonomy places the organism in Eukaryota, Metazoa, Chordata, Chondrichthyes, Lamniformes, Lamnidae.
GUGGUCGCUUCGGCAGCACGUAUAUUUUAAAAUUGGAAACGAUACAGAGAAGAUUAGCAUGGCCCCUGCGCAAGGACACGCAAAUUCGGAAGCGUUCCAUAUAGGC